RNAcentral lists this ribosomal RNA (254 nucleotides) under uncultured bacterium. RNAcentral's name for it is "partial 16S ribosomal RNA". It matches the Rfam family "Bacterial small subunit ribosomal RNA", at positions 524 to 776 of the family's 1533-position model. The record is from RNAcentral.
UACGUAGGGUGCAAGCGUUAAUCGGAAUUACUGGGCGUAAAGCGUGCGCAGGCGGUUUUGUAAGUCUGUCGUGAAAUCCCCGGGCUCAACCUGGGAAUGGCGAUGGAGACUGCAAGGCUAGAAUCUGGCAGAGGGGGGGUAGAAUUCCACGUGUAGCAGUGAAAUGCGUAGAGAUGUGGAGGAACACCGAUGGCGAAGGCAGCCCCCUGGGUCAAGAUUGACGCUCAUGCACGAAAGCGUGGGGAGCAAACAGG